RNAcentral lists this ribosomal RNA (837 nucleotides) under Triticum aestivum (bread wheat). RNAcentral's name for it is "partial small subunit ribosomal RNA". Lineage: Eukaryota; Viridiplantae; Streptophyta; Magnoliopsida; Poales; Poaceae. The record is from RNAcentral.
AUGCGCGCUAGCGCUCCUGCAAGAGGAAGUAGCCGAUGGUGCGGCGUACACCACGCGCCGUUCGCACGAGCUGCCUGCACGUGCGGGAGUGGCUCUUCCACUGCGCCUCCACCAACGCGGACGAACGUGGCAUCCCCUGCUUUGACAGCAACCGAUCGCCGCGGUACGGAUGCCGCGCGUGGCGACAACAGCAAAGUCAAGGCGUUGCGUGACUACAGGCGCGCCCGUGGACUGUGCUUCAAGUGCGGGGAGCGUUGGGGCCACGACCAUGUUUGCCCAACGUCGGUCCAGUUACACGUCGUCGAGGAGAUGCUCGAACUCUUCGGCGUCGAUUCUUCGCCACCACCAAGCGAGGGCGCAGGGCCGAGCAACACCGUGAUGGCCAUAUCACGGUCAGCUCUCGAUGGCACAGUCUCGUCUAAGGCCUUCCAGCUACUGGCAACCAUUCAAGGCCGCGAGGUUCUGUUGUUGGUGGACAGCGGCAGUUCUACCUCCUUCAUCAACCAAGCUUUGGCGCAACAGCUGUCGGGGGUCGUGCCCCUGCAACAACACUGCCGUGUCCGCGUAGCGGACGGCAGCGAGCUCACAUGUUCUGCAGUUCUGCCAGCUUGCAAAUGGGCAUCUCAAGGGCAAGAAUUCAUCACCGACAUGAAGAUACUUCCUCUGGGCACUUAUGAUGCCAUCCUGGGCAUGGAUUGGUUAGAGAUGCAUAGCCCGAUGACCGUGGAUUGGAAGAACAAGGUCAUCCAAAUUCCAACUCCCCUGGGUUCGGCUCGUCUGUUCGGCCACGAGGCAAAUACUACAGACUGUCAUCUGAUCAGCAGCCUUCAGCUAUAG